Molecule: ribosomal RNA, 484 nt
Filed under: uncultured soil bacterium
Lineage: Bacteria
Description: bacterial SSU rRNA
Rfam family: Bacterial small subunit ribosomal RNA
Source: RNAcentral
AGAUUGAACGCUGGCGGCAUGCCUAACACAUGCAAGUCGAACGGGAGUAGCAAUACUCUAGUGGCGGACGGGUGAGGAAUACGUAGGAAUUUGCCCUUAAGUGGGGGAUAACCCGGGGAAACCCGGAUUAAUACCGCAUGACCUCGAAAGAGCAAAGUGGGGGAUCGCAAGACCUCACGCUUUUGGAGAAGCCUACGUCGGAUUAGCUAGUUGGUGAGGUAAUGGCUCACCAAGGCGACGAUCCGUAACUGGUCUGAGAGGAUGAUCAGUCACACCGGAACUGAGACACGGUCCAGACUCCUACGGGAGGCAGCAGUGGGGGAAUAUUGGACAAUGGGCGCAAGCCUGAUCCAGCCAUACCGCGUGGGUGAAGAAGGCCUUCGGUGUAAAGCCCUUUGUGGAAGAAAUCCUGCCGAUUAAUACUCAGUAGGAUGACGGUAUCCAAAGAAUAAGCAACCGGCUAACUUCGACGCCAGCCAGCCGC